GAGGGUAUAGCUCAGUGGUAGAGUGCAGGCUUAGCAUGCACGAGGUCCUAGGUUCAAUCCCUGGUACCUCUG
This 72-nucleotide transfer RNA is filed under the name Camelus bactrianus (Bactrian camel). It matches the Rfam family "tRNA". From Rfam's summary of the family: Transfer RNA (tRNA) molecules are approximately 80 nucleotides in length. Their secondary structure includes four short double-helical elements and three loops (D, anti-codon, and T loops). Lineage: Eukaryota; Metazoa; Chordata; Mammalia; Artiodactyla; Camelidae. RNAcentral also lists the same sequence under 2 other names. The record is from Rfam by way of RNAcentral.